CUUCAAAACCGGCAAUGUCAGCCACGAACAACACCUGCCUUUCAUCUCAACUGCUGCUAAGACCCUCUUCAGACUGGGAAACAGGACACUAGGGGAUCGACUGCCUCAAGUUGCCUAGAUAAAGUGGUGUGGCAGUUGGAAUGGGAAUGUCACCACAGACUCAGAUCUUCGCACACCUAUGUUCCCAGUUGUCCAUGCUGCUUGAGGGAUGCCCUGGAACCUUUGAGAGAGGUCGUGUCCACUGUGAUUACGUGCUGGGCUGCACAGUCUUGAGUUCACGGCACAAACUUUGCUCACAAUCAUCUGGAUGGUACUUACUAAGAACACAGAGCUUCCAUGAAGGGUCUGAAUGAAUUGGCACUCCAAGUUCUACUUUUUGAUUAGAUUAUCCAGGGUUCCACCAUUUCUUACUAGGAAGGCAUGUUUUUCUUCGACUCAGGCAGAGCUGAAAGUGACUUCAAAUGCAAUCGUGGCUCUCUUUAGUGCU
Mesocricetus auratus (golden hamster) is the source of this 487-nucleotide long non-coding RNA. RefSeq lists it as uncharacterized. The record is from RefSeq and is a predicted model, not a curated record. NCBI's taxonomy places the organism in Eukaryota, Metazoa, Chordata, Mammalia, Rodentia, Cricetidae. The transcript is spliced from 3 exons.